CAGACAUAUGAACAGGCCAACAAAGUCUUUGAGAAGGCAAACAAGUUGGAGCAGGAGUUCAGCGAAUACUUCACAGUAAUUCUACAGGGCGACUCAAUGGAGGAACUUUACAGCAAAGUGAAGAAGGUCAUCGAGGACCAUUCUGGUCCCUACAUCUGGAUCCCUUCCUCAGAGAGGUUUUGAGCCCCCCAGUCCUCUGGUCCCAGGAGCCUCUCUUAUCUCUACAGACCUACAUGUGCUGUAGGGUUUUCUACCACUUCACGUCUGACGCCACGACUGCAAAUGUGUGUAACUCCUGCAUGAGUUUUAGAGAAAUCCCCUCAAAUCUGGAAGUAACAUUCCAGGCUCAUUUUAUUCGUGGACAUGGAAGCAAAAGGAAAGGUACGUGGCAGAAGAUGGACAGUGAGUCUGAAUGUAUGAAAAUGUGUACGAAGUGGGGUCUGUAGAUGCUGCUGUCAGAUUGGGGAUGAAGACGGAAUAGUUUUUUUUAAGUGUAUAAACACUGGUGUUAAAACACAAGAGUAGAAGGUUGACAGGCAUUUUGUUUUAGUCCUACAUUGUUAACAGCAUAUGAACUGACCCCCCCCCCCCCCAACCACAACCCCCUAUGAUGCUCAGACUAUUCUGCUCAUGCUUUGUUUUUCUAAUUUUAUGAUGUAAUUACAAACUGCUUACAUUUUAAAUGGCUGCAUCAGGACCUCUUCAGAAAAUGGGGAAUCUGGAUAAAAUGGCAUAACAAUGGCAAAUUGUUUAUAUUCUUGAAACUUCCACACGAUUGGUAAAAAUGUACGAUUUUAGUACAUAUUAAAAUGUUUUACACAUGAUCAGGUUUGACUACA
Molecule: non-coding RNA, 839 nt
Organism: Paramormyrops kingsleyae
Lineage: Eukaryota; Metazoa; Chordata; Actinopteri; Osteoglossiformes; Mormyridae
Source: RefSeq, a predicted model, not a curated record